Syngnathoides biaculeatus (alligator pipefish) is the source of this 315-nucleotide long non-coding RNA. RefSeq lists it as uncharacterized. The transcript has 3 exons. The record is from RefSeq and is a predicted model, not a curated record. Lineage: Eukaryota; Metazoa; Chordata; Actinopteri; Syngnathiformes; Syngnathidae.
AAAUGCGUCACGCUAGGCUAAUCUUAAUGUGCUGCUUUUUUGUGUCAACUAUUUUUAUGCCACCACCACCGACAGUCAAUGACCUUUGAAUUCUUUUAUAUCACAAUAUCAUCUGCGAAAUUCAUAGCCCAAGGGGAUCCCAGUCUAACCUCAUCUGUCAGCCUAUCCGUUACUACCGCCAACAGGAAGGGGCUCAGCGCGGAUCCCUGAUGCACUCCCACCUCCACCACUCGCCCAUGCAGUACCGCAGUUCCUCUCUUGGUACUCUCGUCCUAGGCUUUCUCUCAGUCUACAAAGACGCAACGUAGCUCCUUC